UAAAAACAUUUAUAUAGUUACAGAAUUAGUACUAUCCAUGUAUAAUGUGUAUCCUUAUUUUUCCCUCAAAAAUUCGGGCAAAAUGUAUGCAUUAUACUUGGCAAAAUAUGAUGAGUUGAAUAUUCCUAUCACAAAACUUCCAAAGUUUGGGAAGUAAAUUUUUAACCACAAAACUCCUCUCUUUAGCAAAGUGAAGAUACUUUUGUUAAGAAAAUGGAAUAACUUUUUAAAUCCAGGUAUCAAACCCCCAACCUCUGCAUGUGUCCUGACUGGAGACUGUACCCACAACCUUUUGGGCAUGGGACCACAUCCAACCAAAUGAGCCACCCAGCCAGGGCAA
Phyllostomus discolor (pale spear-nosed bat) is the source of this 340-nucleotide long non-coding RNA. RefSeq lists it as uncharacterized. NCBI's taxonomy places the organism in Eukaryota, Metazoa, Chordata, Mammalia, Chiroptera, Phyllostomidae. The transcript is spliced from 2 exons. The record is from RefSeq and is a predicted model, not a curated record.